GACGUAGGGCGCGAGCGUUGUCCGGAUUUAUUGGGCGUAAAGAGCUCGUAGGCGGCUUGUCGCGUCAACUGUGAAAACCCGUGGCUCAACCAUGUGGUCUGCAGUCGAUACGGGCAGGCUAGAAUUCGGUAGGGGAGACUGGAAUUCCUGGUGUAGCGGUGAAAUGCGCAGAUAUCGGGAAGAACACCGAUGGCGAAAGCACUCUGCUGGGCCGAAACUGACACUGAGAGACGAAAGCUAGGGGAGCGAAUGGG
This 254-nucleotide ribosomal RNA is filed under the name uncultured bacterium. RNAcentral's name for it is "partial 16S ribosomal RNA". It matches the Rfam family "Bacterial small subunit ribosomal RNA", at positions 524 to 776 of the family's 1533-position model. The record is from RNAcentral.